GAAAAGUUAGCUCAAUUGGCAGAGCAACAGAGGUUUAUCCACUGUAGGUUGUAAGUUCGAUUCUUACACUUUUCU
RNAcentral lists this transfer RNA (75 nucleotides) under Coprococcus sp. OM06-25. RNAcentral describes it as "tRNA-OTHER". It matches the Rfam family "tRNA". Rfam says of the family: Transfer RNA (tRNA) molecules are approximately 80 nucleotides in length. Their secondary structure includes four short double-helical elements and three loops (D, anti-codon, and T loops). Further hydrogen bonds mediate the characteristic L-shaped molecular structure. tRNAs have two regions of fundamental functional importance: the anti-codon, which is responsible for specific mRNA codon recognition, and the 3' end, to which the tRNAs corresponding amino acid is attached (by aminoacyl-tRNA synthetases). tRNAs cope with the degeneracy of the genetic code in two manners: having more than one tRNA (with a specific anti-codon) for a particular amino acid; and 'wobble' base-pairing, i.e. permitting non-standard base-pairing at the 3rd anti-codon position. Lineage: Bacteria; Bacillati; Bacillota; Clostridia; Lachnospirales; Lachnospiraceae. RNAcentral also lists the same sequence under 2 other names. The record is from RNAcentral.